GUUUUAUCAAAGCAUGCAGAAAUAUCCUUUAGUUUCUCCUAUGAUAAUCCAAAACCAUGUAUUAAAAUAUAAUUUCCUGUUAGCAGUUUUGGCAAAGGGAAGCGGCAAUGCUGAGGCAACAACUUCAGAACUUGCAAGAGAAUCACCGGUAAACUCUCUUGUCCUAUGUUAGAUAUAUUUCUUACUUCCACAAAUAACUUAUUCAAUGACCUAUAGCACAAACACGGGGACUCUUGUAUCCAUUGUAGUUUUUAAGACAUUGAAGUAAAAAUUACUCCCUUCAUUCAUUUUUACUAGUCAUAUUUGGAAUUAGUACACCCAAUAAGAAAACAAUAAUAAGCAUGACUAUUUUACCACAAAAUCCUAUUAAUUGAUGGUUAGUAUUAAGUCUCGAAAAAUGAUUCUGG
Molecule: unclassified non-coding RNA, 407 nt
Filed under: Hevea brasiliensis (rubber tree)
Lineage: Eukaryota; Viridiplantae; Streptophyta; Magnoliopsida; Malpighiales; Euphorbiaceae
Source: RNAcentral